GUGCUUGCUCUGACAGAUUAUAUACUAAAAUUUGAACGCUAUAGUGAAGACUAGCAUGAUAGUUAUGCAAGGAUGACACACAACUUCAUGGAGUGGUCCAGAUUUUA
Molecule: small nuclear RNA, 107 nt
Organism: Cricetulus griseus (Chinese hamster)
Lineage: Eukaryota; Metazoa; Chordata; Mammalia; Rodentia; Cricetidae
Source: Ensembl